GACUUUGUUUUACCGCGUCUCGUGCGUUCGAAUUCAAAUCUUCGAGAUAUUCCUCAAUCCAAGUCGACACCUAUUUAUCUUUUGUUCUAAUCAGCCAAUAGCCUAUUUCUUCAAACAAGCAAACAGUAAAAGAUUGUUUAUCUGUUAUUUUUAAUACUAUUGUGUUCAAUCGCUCAAUAGGCUGGGUAUAUCCAGAGGACGUUGUUUUUGAUAUUGGGAAGGAUGGAGAAAGCGUCUAUUUUGUAAGAGUGUUUCAUUCAGAAACCAAAAAAACAAUAGAGGAUUUAUGUACAAAAGUAGAACAGAAAGUGCGAGCCAAAAGUAAG
Long non-coding RNA from Schistocerca gregaria, 326 nucleotides. RefSeq lists it as uncharacterized. The record is from RefSeq and is a predicted model, not a curated record. The transcript is spliced from 3 exons. Lineage: Eukaryota; Metazoa; Arthropoda; Insecta; Orthoptera; Acrididae.